RNAcentral lists this ribosomal RNA (253 nucleotides) under uncultured bacterium. Its description in RNAcentral is "partial 16S ribosomal RNA". It matches the Rfam family "Bacterial small subunit ribosomal RNA", at positions 524 to 776 of the family's 1533-position model. The record is from RNAcentral.
UACGGAGGGGGCGAGCGUUGUUCGGAAUCACUGGGUGUAAAGGGUGCGUAGGCGGUCCGUUAAGUCUGAUGUGAAAUCCCUGGGCUCAACUCAGGAACUGCAUUGGAAACUGGCGGACUGGAGUACCGGAGAGGGAAGCGGAAUUCCUGGUGUAGCGGUGAAAUGCGUAGAUACCAGGAGGAACACCGGUGGCGAAGGCGGCUUCCUGGCCGAGUACUGACGCUGAGGCACGAAAGCGUGGGGAGCGAACGGG